CCUUGGUACAUUCACUAAACAAUUAUUUAAAUUAUGAUAUACUUUAAAUUGUGUUUUUUUUUUCUAUUGCAGGUUUUUACACGACGGAGACAGGAUGGUGGUUUUUGCUGAUGUCCACCAUUUAAUUAAACUACAGAGAAAUCAUUUUUUGGAUAAGGGCUUUAUUAUCAAUGGAAAAAUUGUUAGAAAAGACAUUACUCUGAAGCUGAUCUCGCUUACCUCCAACGACCUGCCCCUCACGCACAAAAUUUCUCACAAGCAUUUGUCUCUAACAGGAGCAGAAAGGCAAAAGGUUAAACUAGCCACAAAAUUGUUCUCCCACACAAUUGCUCAAGCAAUAACUCGAGCCGCUAGUUUAGGUCUGCUAGAUAACGAAAAUUGGGAGGAAUGCCAUCGACUUUUCAAAAUUAGUGCCCAAAGAUGGAGUGAGGGAGCGCUUACACGCCUACGGUUUGGCUUUGAACAAGCAAAAUAAUGUACUGGAACAGAUGACGGAGAUGGUUUCAUCAAUGAGAGUCAUUGGUAAAAAUGCGUUGCUUCCAUUCCAAAAAGGUAUACUCCAAAGCAAUAAUGCUUUGAAAUUUCUGCUGGAUGACUUAAGACAGCGGUACAAAAUUGAUUACAUUUUGACCUACCAUUAAAACAGGACGUAUUGGAAAUUUUUUUUGGCGUAAUCAGGUCAAAAGGCGGUCUUCACGAUCACCCUGACAGGCAGGGGUUCAAAUAUAGGCUGCGUUCCUAUAUAGUUGGUCACAACGAAGGAGCGAUCGCAGAAGAAGGAAAUGUUAAAGUCGACAACACACCAGAUUUGGAAGGUAUCCCUCGAAUAGCACGGUACUUGAGUUGCACGAAAUCUCGAAUUGCACGGUUAAAAAUCGACCCUCGAAUAAUACGGAGUUCGAAUUUCACGAAGUUGCGAAAAUUCCUGUUAAAAAUUGAGUAUAAUUUUCCUUCGAACGACUGUUUGUAGUAUGACGCAAUAAUGCAUUUGAAUAACGCAAUAUUUGGUCAGUUCUCCUGUGCAGUCGUCUCGAAUGGGUUAAAGUGAGCAGAUCGAAAUAUUUAAGACGUUUUUUUAAAUUUUGUGCAUCAAGUAGUGAGUGCUUAGCUUACUGGCCCAUGUGACUGAUUUUAAACUUUCCAAAGUACAUACGAACUAAAGAUUUUUUAGUUGAAGAUUUGUAAGGUUUCUAUAGUUAUAUUGUGCAGUUUUUGAAAUUUUAUCCUCGAUUCUUAAGUUUGCAAAAUGUCGUUGGAAAAAAAAUUACCCUUGAAAAGAAACGUUAUUGCACCUAAGGAAAAAAUGGAAAUUUUAGACAAGUUAAAAGAAGGAGUUAAAAUAUCGACUUUAGCAAAACCAUUGAAUUUACAUGAAGCACGAUUAAAAGAAAUGAGGACAAAAUAAGGAUGAAUGUCUUAGCAGGUUGCUCUACAACAUCAAAGCGAACGGAUUGCGCACGGGAUGUUAACGUUGUCAAAAUGGAAGAAGCUCUUUCAAUUUGGAUACAAGAUUGCAAUGAUAAACGGAUUCCUUUAGAUGGACUUACUAUCAGGCAGAAAGCUCUGAACAUCUAUAAAUAUUUGAAGGAAAUGGCAAGCUCAUCUGCACAAGAACAACAACAAAAGUCAUUUUGUGCGAGUAAGGGCUGGCUCGAGAAAUUCAAAACAAGAUUCUGGUUGCGCAGUCUCAAACUUCAAGGUGAGAUUGCUUCAGCGGAUGCAGAAGCUGCUGGUGUUUUUAUUUUAGAACUACAAAAAAAUUGUAGAAGAUGGAGACUAUUCAGCGGAUCAGAUUUUCACCGUAGAUGAAACAACCUUCUAUUGGAAAAGGAUGCCAUCUCGAACCUAUAUUUCAAAAAGCCAAAAAUCUGUUCCUGGAUUCAAAGCAGAUAAACAGAGACUUACUCUUUUAAUGUGCACUAACGCAUCAGGGAAUUUUAUGUUAAAGCCUAUGGUUAUUAGCCGAUCUUUGAAUCCCCGACCAUUA
Long non-coding RNA from Bactrocera neohumeralis, 1987 nucleotides. RefSeq lists it as uncharacterized. Lineage: Eukaryota; Metazoa; Arthropoda; Insecta; Diptera; Tephritidae. The transcript has 3 exons. The record is from RefSeq and is a predicted model, not a curated record.